Long non-coding RNA from Lolium perenne, 14285 nucleotides. RefSeq lists it as uncharacterized. The record is from RefSeq and is a predicted model, not a curated record. NCBI's taxonomy places the organism in Eukaryota, Viridiplantae, Streptophyta, Magnoliopsida, Poales, Poaceae.
CAAAGGCCCAAUACAUUAACCACAAGGGCCGCCCAUCCUCCUCCUCUAGCCAUCGCGGUCCACCUCCUGUCUCGCGCCGCCCGCCGCCGCCGUCGACGAGCUCAACCGCACCACCGCGUACGCAGAUCAUCCAGUGAUAUUUCCCCUCAAAGGAGAAGGAAGAGGAUGGAAAAGGCACUAUGCGUGCCGACAGAGGUGUUGGCUGGGAAGAGUCAGUUAGGCUUUUCUGACAGUACCAGUCUUCUCUUUGCCUUUUGCAUUGUUUGCUGUUACUGAUUCAAUCACCCUACUUUGAUUUCCUUUUGUAAUUUGCAUGCAUGUUUUCAGGCUGCAUAUUGUGUGCGUGGGCAUUCAGUAACUUGGCAGUUCUUAUCGUUAAUACAGACACAACCAAAUUUAGUAAGGAUACACUGCUAACAAACUAAUGGUCAUACAGUUGGUUUGCAAGCUAUUUACGCCCAUGAUGAAAUCAGCAUCAGGGAGCUCUUUACAGCUAUAUGCUUUUUCCCUCAAAUUAUUGCCGUAUAAGUUUUCUUUCAGAUACGUUGCACAUGAAUUUGUGUGAGUAGACACUAUGUUUGUUUCGUAAAUUGUGCUUGCAUGAUUGUAUGUUUUCUUCCUUUGGCUGCUAUCGCCCAUGGCUUACACAUGCGCGGUUACAAGUCGCAUUGUCCGGUGGCGCUUCAGUUGGAGAUGGCAUGCACAAAUUCUAUUCUAUCACAGCAUCUACCAAAAUAUGAUCUUUUAGUUCCUAAUUUUGUGAUCACUCAUACUGUGAUUAGCUUCUGGCCGUGUAGAAAGUGAGAGGAGAUAGACCUGUAAAUUGCGGGAAAAUACAUAAACUGAAGAGGAUUCAUGUGAAAAUAGGGCUAUUCCCUCUUGGAAUGCUAAUUGUCGAUUGCUUUCUCGGGAGUGGUGUUUUAGAACAUGGGUGCAUAUGCUCCCUAUAUUUUGAAAUGCAUCUUAUGUACAUUUUAAAUUUAAAAAAAAUUGAAACUAAAAAUUUGUACGUACAUCUUCACGUGCUACGCGCUCAUAAAGUCGUUUCAUAAAAAAUUGACUUAUCAUGUGAUGUGUGUAAAAAAGACAAAAUUCAGUGCUAAAAAUAAUGCUUUUCACAAGAUAAAGUUUCUCCUUUUUACAUAGACCACAAAAAUAUUGAUUUUUUCGUGAAACUUAGCGAAUGCACAUACAUUAUGGAGAUGUACAUGUAGAAUUUUUUAUCUAAAUUUUUUGACAUUUCGAAAUAUAUUUUUUGGUAGAGGGGGCAUACGCACCCGGGAGCCGAAUUGAAUUUCUGUUGCUUUCUCUUGCUACACAACGACCUCCUCAAUAACUCAAUCUGCAGAAUGUACCAUUAUACUUAUGUGGCUUUCAUACUUAGUGCCUUAGCUUUCCUCGCAAUCAAAUAGGAUUCAAUAUUAUUUUUUUUUGUCACAUAUUUUCUGCAAAAAAGAAGGUGAGCUAUAUUAGAUCACAAGGUGUCCAGUUACUUUCUUUUCUUUCCGCUAUUGAUUUUUUUUUAUUUUUUUACUCACGGGCUGCUGUGUCAGAUUAGAAGGUUUAAUUAGUUACUUAUUUUUUUUCUUUUUCCACUAUUAUUCAAUUUUUUGCUUACAAGCUGGCAUUAUUUAUUUGUUUUAGGCACAUCUCUCUCACAGUCUUCACUUCAGUACAAAAAAUAUCUGGCCUUGCUGAGGGUUAUUUUAUUUAGAGGAAUCUUGGUGCGUUUUGCGCGUGCUCUCGAAAAAAAGGAAACCACUAAAGGGUGAGCCAACUUCCUCCCUUCUGCAAUUACCAAUACAUUAGGCAAACGAUGUGUUGUCGUCGCGAAAGUCGCAGGAAGCUAUCGAUGCCGAAAAUGUAAUUCCCCUCUCCGGCCGGCAGCAUGCAGAGGACGGCCGGUGGUGCUGCCCAGGGCCGGGGCGGGUGUGGCGGCCAUGAUGGAGAUGGGCGGUGAGGGUUGAAGGUGGGUCUGGCCAAAAGCACGAAGCAUGAUGGCGCGACAAGCUCCGGGCAAAUGCCUUGUCCUCGGUGGCUGGCCGGCCGGCAGCUGGCCGAGGCCGGCGAUGGCGACGGCUUCGGGCGCCGCUUCCUUCUUGAAGGCAUCGCCGAGGUGAUGUUUUGCCAUCCUGUCUGGGAAAGCUCCGGGGAAAUACCUAGAUCCGCCGUGAUCGGUCGAUGGCGGCGCUCUUGUGUCGUCUUCCCUCUUGAGGGCAUCGAUUUGGAGCUGCUUAGGUCGGAGGGACCCGUGGAGGAUGGUUGGUGUUGGCGUUGUGGGCUGGGUGGCAACGAUGACAGUGGUGAGCGGAUCGGAGCUGCGGCAUGUCCUUCGUCACCCCUGCCGUGAUGGUGAAGUCGGAGCUGCGAGGCGACUUGUGGCAACGCUGCCACUUGAUUGGUCCUUGCGUCGUGCAAGGCGUGCAACUUUCUCCUAUGAAGGUCGCGGUUGAAGUCGGAGCUGCCUCCUCCUCGACGUGCUUGGGGGUUGACUGUUUGGCAUGGGAAGUUGGAUGGUGUUGGCGUCAUGGGUUGCGUCGCGACGAUGACAAUGGUGAGAGGAUCGGAGUUGCGGCAUGUCCUUCGUCACCCCUGCCGUGAUGGUGAAGUCGGAGCUGCGAGGCGACUUGUGGCAACGAUGCCACUUGAUUGGUGCUUGCGUCGGUGCAAGGCGUGCAACUUCUCCUGUGAAGGUCACGGUUGAAGUCGGAGCUGCCUCCUCCUCGACGUGCUUGGGGGUCGAUUGUUUGGCAUAGGCUCACUUGGGUUCCGAUGUCGUUUGCGGCGAGGGUCUUGAUGGCGGUUGUCUAAGGUGAAGUCGGAAUCGCUGUCUCGUGGAGGAGUGACGACGAUGACGCUUGUUGACAUCCUCAACGAUGGUUUUUCUCCUCGAUGACGUAUGUGCUUCAUGUGGGUAGCCAGGUUGACCGGGGUGCUAUGUGUGUGUUGUUGAUUUUCCCGAUUUUCUCCUAAAAAUUGGGCACUUUCUUCUUAAUUAAUAGAUUGGGGCAAAGCUUUUACCUCCGUUUCAAAAAAAAAAAAAUCUCAAAAAAUGAAUGAUCAACACCACAGGACCAACAGAGCCCAUCCUCCAGUCACUUUUUUACCCUCCCAUUUAAAAGCCUAUCAGUGUAACGCAUAUAUCUCCCCUCAUGUAUCACCCAUGUAUCUCCCCUCAUGUACCACCCUUUAUUGUACUUGUUCCUGCGUGUAACUUCGCCUCGCACUGUUGCACAGGAACCUUAUGCAAACAAACCAAUUCCUCUAUGAUAUAAACUAGGAAAUUUGCGGCGCGGCGCAUGCCGCGCCCUUGUUGUCUAUGGUGCGACGUACUUUUUUAAAAACGGUAUUUUUAGGUUUAAGAGUGUAGGAUUCUUUUUUAAAACUCGACCGCACCCUUGGUAUCAAGAUCGUUGGUUACAAUUUUGUAGAAAUAAUACAAUAUUUGGAUUGCUGAAGUAGCGCGAAAGUGCCAGUGAAAUAGGCGGCAGAUGGUGGAGUGCUUUUGUUUCUAGAUCAUUGGUUGAAAUAUUGUAGAAAUUAAAAAAUAUAUGGGUUGCUGAAGUACUGCAUGUGAAAUAGGCGGUGGAUGGUGAAGUUCUUUUGUUUUCGGUGUUGCUACGAACGGAAACGGUAUUAUUUUUCCGGUCGGAAGAGGCAACGGGUGAUGGAGUAGAUCUAUAUUUCUAAAGUUACUAUUGAAGAAGGUCAUCCAAUGUGAAAAUGUGAUGGAUGGUGGAGUAAGUAUAUUUUUUCGAUGUUACCGUAGAAGAACACAACAUUAUUUUCCUCAAAUAAAAGAGCGAAUAGAUGUUGGAUUUUAUUUUAAUCACCGUUGAAAAAUUAAGCACUACUAAUGAAAUAUCGGGGGGUAAUUACUGUCCACAACCACGAUUGAAAUUACAUAUCCAAGUAUUUUCUUUUCAAAUCUAGUUGUAGAUUUCCCACAAUUUUGUUUGAAAAAGAAACUCUUGUUCUCACUCUCUUUCCUGAUCCCUGCAUUCCUCUCACUUUUCAGUUCUUGCCCCAUUCUACAGCAGGUGCCACCUUCCGCACCAAAUUCCAGCUACGUCCGGCCGGUCCCAUUCUGGCACUCGCGGGCUUGAGCUAGGCUCCACGGUGCUUGUGGUUCUUGUGCUUCCGGUCCCAAGCAAACACCACGGUCGACGGUAAUUGGCAUGGUGUCACGCGGUGGCCGCUCCUCUUGUGUCAGGUCCAGAGCAUCUCCUCGGCGCCCUCCAUCGCAUCAACCAACUAAAGUGCAGGAAUGGUAGGUCCAGAAGCCACGGGGAUACAUAUCUUCUUCGAGUAGCCGCCCAGCAAGAGGGCAGCGACCCAUCAAGCGAUUGCCGGCCGUUCCGUGAAGGCACACAACUGUAGGUAUGUGAUAGGCCAUCCAUGAUACAUGGUCAUCGCCGUGCCUCAUGGUAUCACCAGUUAUGCAAACAUCCUGCACCAUAUGCAUGGAAACGUUAAUUGGCAACGUUGCCUGGUAAAUCUUUUCAUUCCUAGCUUCUCAAUCUGAAGCAAGAAAAGGUGUAGAAAGAAAGCAAUCUCGGUUCGUUCUCUCGAACAGUUUGCUUAAGAACUGCAACCUUGGAGUCUGAUUAGUGCUGUUGUCGAAGUUUGGCUCCAACCACUAUUUGCAUAAGGGCAGUGUGGAUAUUUAUGGCUGGCUUUGCAGGUAAUUAGCUAUUAACAGCAUCAGCUAUUUUAGCUCGUACCUUCUGCUGGAGGGCACUGGGCAGCACAGAUUUCUUCUUUCUCCUUAAAUUUUCAAGACAGCUGACACUGUUUCUUCUCUGACGUAAUUUGAGAAUCCAUCUUAGAAUCAAUAUAGAAAUCUGUAGCAUCGGAUUUGCUAACACGAUAUUCUUUGCUGGAGAGAGUAUUUUUAGCCAAGGACUACAUUUAAGAAAUACCGAUCAUUGUUCUAGCGAUGCCAUGGUAAAUACAAAAUCUAGGAGUGGUCUCUAGUCUGACAGGAGCUAUGCAACUUGAAAGCAAUAACUAACCUGAAGUUACUCUUUGAUGCCAGUGGUGAUCUGAAAACUCUUGCACGCACAGGCAUAUCUAUAAUCCACAUAUUGAUUGCAUCUUGAUUCUUCACUUAUGAUGAUCUCUUGAUUCUUCACUUCUGAUGAUCAACAUGUCCAUGUGGACAUUGUUCUGUGCACUACUCAAAACCAGAGUGCUGCUGGUCUGGCUGGAACCCAGAGGCGUCCAUCUCCAGGAGGGCCGCAGAGGAGAGGCAAUCGAAGUUCGAGACCGAGGCCGCCUCCAAACUCACCGAGCUUGUGGUACUUCCGGUGGGCGAACUCAUGGAUGCUAUUGCCAUCAUCGUGCUCGUCCCUUUCGUCCUCUCAAAGGUACAACAAAAAUUUCACUUUCGUCCUCUCAAAGGUACAAUAAAAAUAAAACAAAUGCACCUGCUGGUAUAAAGUGUUCUCUGAAGUCAAAUAAAUUACCUGAGCUUUCCAAGUAUCAUAUGAAUAUAAAACAAAAUGCAACUGCAAGUAUGAUUCAUGUUAAAUAUGAGGUUCUUUGUGUGCAAAUCAGAUAAACUAUUGUAGUAUGUAAGAAUAACGGAAAUAGAAAAUAAUACAUGUCUAGACUGGUCAUUCGAGUAAUGCCUGACGCUAGAACAUAGGUAAAGAUGUAGUAUUUUUUAGUAUUUUCAUAUUUGGCACCUAAAUAGUAUGAGUGACUGAUUAUAAUUAGACAGUGUAGAAACUAUUAGUCAGCGAACAUAUGUACAUAAGAAAUAGCAAAUUUGUUUGAAAGCAGAGUCUGUAAUUAAGAGAACAAAGUUCGAUGUGCAAACUGUUGUCUUAUCUACAUGAUAAAUUGUUUACUCAAGAAAGUCAUAACCAGUCAAUCACAUUGCAGAUGGACAAAUAGCUUUAUUUCUUAUCGUUGUGCAUACUUUCAUCUAUACCCAAAACAAACUCAAUCAAAAUGGAACCAAAUGAACUCAGUACACACUCAGUUAUGGGCACUGAGUUUAAAUUGCAGGGCAGACAACUUAACUCAAGAUAGACAAUUUGAGAGACUACAAACCCUACUGAAUUAUGCAGUCAGCCCUCCAACAAUUCUACUUCUCCAUUGCCAAUCCAUUCUUUAAGCGAAAUAGCUAAGAAUUGUUUUACAGGAACAUGCAUAGAUAAUCCUGUUUAAGGUGGAACAGGAAUGGUGUGAUUUAACAACUCGAACCGUACCUGAACAUUCAUAUUUUGUUCAAUGAACUCACAUGCAUGCAGGAGGGAUACAAAGUAGGUAUCAGGCUUAGGGUGCAAGAUUACUUCUGAAGAGAACUUACGAAUAGCCACCAUGUAAACCAAAUUCGGCGAAAUAUAGUUAUCAUCGGGAUGCCUUGCCUGACUCAUACAUGUAAAAGAUACACUCUCAUAUCUAUAUCUUCUAGCUAUUCCAUGGAGAUACGCAGCCUCAUUUUAUUGCUUCUUAUUUGUUCUCAGAAAAAUAGGGUAAGAAAAGAACUUAAUUUGACCAAAAGCUAAUAACAUACCAACGUACCCAGUAGCAGUUUGCAAAGAAAACAAAAUCCAACUAAAUAAUAUAUCCUUGCUACCGACAUAACUGAUUCUCAACAACAGUGACAUCAUUUCGUAAGGAAUAUUUGAAGGCAAGGGUUUACCUUAGACAGAGGACUGAACCUUUUCGUUUCUUAGUUUGCUGGAACCUUUUUCCUCCAAUCAACCUUUGAUGGCAUGAAAAGCAAAUAAAGCCAAGCGUUAGUCAGUCUUUCGUGCUCCAACAACCGGAUAGUGUAAACAACCGGAUAGUGUAAAAUCCAAGCUCCAGCUCACAUUUGAGAACAAAAAUAGCAUUGUCAGCCAGGUUACCUCCGCACGGUAAUGAUGUGGUAUUAAAAACAAAAUGUAAGCACGAAUAGGAUGUAAUCACAUCCGAUUAAAUUGAUGUGGUAUUAAAAACCAAAUGUAAGCAAGAAUAGGAUGUAAUCACAUCAGAUUAAAUUGCGUACGCAAAGUAGAAAAUAAAUUGACCAGGAUUACUCUUUCCAGUACUCAAUGCCUCAAACCGAGGGGGUGAGAGAGACGAUAUUUCAAAAAAAAAACCUAACACCUGCGGCAAGAUAAAAGUUAUCGUCAUAUAACUUCGGAAAAUACAGUAGAUGAAAUGUAAUAUGUACAGUAGAAACUUAUAUAUAGUAAAAAAAAUGAGAGCAUGAGAUUUAGGUCCCAGUUCACACUAUUUCACAGUUGAAAUCAUGUAUAUGUUUAGCCUACAUAUUAAUAGAAAAACAGACUGAUGGAAGGGGGUUUUCUUAUGUCAAUUUGCAUUCAUAGAAGGUGGCUCGUCCACUUUAUCAGUGUGACUAAUUUGAUCUUAAAUCAGUUCAGUUUUCAUGGACCAAAUGGGAAAUCUGAAAAUAUACUGAUUUGGUUCUUUUACGCACAGCAACAAAUAUCUGUUAGGCACCAAAAUCACAACCAGAGCACCUAGUAUGCUUGGACCUUUUGUGCCAAUCACUCAGGACCAACUAUAAUCCCUUCGAUCUACGGAACAAUGGGGACUUCAAACGAUGUAGAAAUCAUUGGGGAAAAGAGAUCGACCUGCAGUUGGUGGUCUGUUUUGCCGAAUCACACGAGCUGGCCGUCGGGGAGGGUGCUUCACAGGACUAUCAGAGCCGUGGUGCUCUAGGCUGGGGUGGAGAAGAAGGCCGACACGCACCCGCCGCUUCCCUCCUCCCGCUUCCUGUCCGCCCCCCAUCACUACACGAUGGACCAAGCAUGGAGGCUAUAAAACUGCCGGCGUAAGCAGCUUAUGGAGGCAAGUAGUCUGUGCCGGCAGACAUAUCUGCCCUCUAUAAUGCUGACGGCAAAGACAUGUGCCGGCAGACAAUUCUGUACCGGCAGGCUAGCUGCCCGAGGAUAAUUCUUUGCCGGCACGUACCCUACGCCGGCAGCUAUGCUGCCCGUACAUUUCUACCGGCAGUUUGUCUGCCACAAAUAUUUCUACCGGCAGUUUUAUUGCCUGAAACAUCUUACCGGCAGUUUUUCCGCCACAAAUAUCUCUACCGGCAGUUAGAUUGCCUGAAACAUCCUACCGGCAGACAAAUCGCCACAAUUUCUACAUGCUGGCCAUUCUAGGCCCACUGCCAAUAUCAAUUCACAUAUGUGGUCAUCUAAGCCCAUUGGCAAAAUCAAACAUGUCGCAUACAGAUGAAUUCAGAAACAACAUCAGGUCAUCAAACAUGUCGCAUACACAUGAAUUCAGAAUCAAAAUCAGGUCAUCAAACUGACAUACACAUGAAUUCAGAAAUAAUAUCAGGUCAUUCAGAAUAGUCUGAUCACAUAGAUAGAUUCAUAGUCUGAUCAUACAUAUAGAGAUUCGAAGUCUGACUCGACAUUGCAUACAUAUGCCAGUUAUAUUGCGACUAAUACAUCAGCCCACUAGCAGUGCAACAUUCAUAAUUAUUUCAAGACACUUCAGGUGGAAAACAAAAAGAGAUCUCAUCCAACCACCAGUGUCAUCACGGCGCGCCUUGCAUGGUACGAACUAGUCUGCAUUCCUGUUGACCUGAAAUAAAUGAGAAGAUCAAUAAAAUGUGACUAGUCUGAAAUACUUGCAAUUUGUCAUAGUAAUUCACAUAAUGUCAUAAACAAAACAGUCAAUAGCUGAUCAACAACUUGCCAUGUCCGAAACUCACAGUUAGCUGAAUAUGCAUUUUACCAACUAGUCAUGAUGCGUCCAAGCUCACUGUUUGCACAUACAUAAAAUUGAGCAAAGAAACAUUGAAGAAAGCUCACUGUCAAAGCUCCUGUUUUCUUCUUAUAGUCUUGCAUGUGCAUCAGGUUAUAUUGAGAAAAGUUCAUCACAGACAAGAAAAUUGAACUAGCAACGUUGCAAGCUUGUUUGUGCAUCAGGGAAUUUCUCCCUCCAGCUCCACUGAUUCAGGAUUGAACUAGCAACGUUGCACAUGCAUGUGGUUCAGGAUCACAGACGAACAAGAAAAAUUUAGUGCUACUUGUGAGCUUAGUAAUGCAAGUACAUCAGGUUAUAUUGAGAAAAGUGCAUCACAGAAACACAGAAACAAAUUGAACUAGCAAUGUUGCACACAGGGGCGGAGCUCAAUGAGGCUACCCUGAUGCACAGGCAUACGGUAAGAAAAAAAAUUACUAGCACUUGGCGUCAAAAAGAGAGUCGUGCAUCAGGUUUGGCCCAGACUUGUGCAUCAGGGUCUAGACGAUGGCUCGAGCGAACAGCCUCAUCUUGCAGUCACACGCCCGGGCAUGUACUCACGCGGCAUGGCACAAAGCGGUGAAUCAGAGUAUAUUUGUUGAAACUACAUGCCCACGAUUCUCGAGAAAAAAGGCACCAACCGCGCGCACAUCCACACACGGAUCAAUAGUUCAACACCGAUGUCUUUGUUGUGCUGUGGCUCGGCUCGAUCGAUCAAACAAAAACGAAAAAGAAACUAUCUCAACAUCCAAAGAUUAAUCUGUAACUAGACUCCAGAUUAAUCUGGUUUCCUAGCAACACAGGUGCCUGUGAUAAAAUGGUUGCAGUAGUGGAGCUGCUCCUAAACUUAAUUCAACGUGAUAAUGGUAUGCACAACAUGUUGUGCCGAACAAAGAAGCAAAAAGGCCAUGCCAUCUUCUUUACUCGCUACACUCUACAGCAGCAGCACCUCGAUAACUAGGAGAUUUGGAGGCUAUGAUAGUUUCGACUCUCGACUGUCAGUAGCCACUAGCCACACUGAGCCAGCCGCACGGAACCCGCAAGCUGAAACCUGAGCCACAGAACACGGGAUAGGGGAUACGGGACCAAAACCGGGGUGGGGGGGCACCGACCUGCACGGGCUGCUUCUCCGCCGGCUUGGCGGCGCCGUUGUCUUUGUUGUGCACCUGUGUUUUAGCAACAUCCAAAGAUUUUAUUCUACUCCCUUCAUCCACUAAAAUAUCUUAACUUUAUUAAAAUUCGGAUGUAUCUACCUACCAGAUAUACAUUAAAAUUUGUAAGAAGCUGAGGCAUUUUUUGUGUGGUCAAUUUUGCUUUACAAUUGUAUUCUACAUUAAACUGGUGCAUCAGGGUCGGUUGAGAGCCAGCUCCGCCCCUGGUUGCACAUGCAUGUGGUUCAGGAUUUUACCGAUCAGACCACUAAUUCAUCAGUUCACUGUCAGGUUUUUUAAACAUAAAAGUAAUUAUAACCUAUAUAAAAGUUGGACAAUUUAGCACUCCCUAAUUGAUUGGGGCACUGUAGAUGAAGAAUUUUGGAUGGUUUAGGUUCCUUUUCCCAGCGACACGUGCACAGUUAUUUUUCUUUGCCUUUGGUGACUUUUUUCUUCCUUUUUUCUUGGAGCGAUCGGGCAACCGGCUACCGGCAGGGGCCAGUUCGCGGCGUUUAAUAUUGACAGUUUCCAUUCUAUCGGUAAAUUUCCUUUUUUUUAGUUAGCUUUACCCAGUCCACACCGGUUAAUGGGGUGAGUUUGUGCCGUCAAAGCGGUGCGACAGAUCGUCUCCCGAACCAUCUCCUAAUAUCCAGGCAUAUCUCCCCUAUCUCUUCCACUAGCUUCCACAUGUAUGCCCAUACCUGCCCAAUCUUUAUGCGUGGGGCGGAGCUGCUCUAAAAUCUCCAGUUUGCCGUCGCAGUCGACCUCUCCCCAGCCCCGGCGGGCGGCGGCCGCCCCUUCCUCUUCCUAUUUCUAUUUACAGCGUGGGCGUCCACCUCCCCUUCCUCUUCCUAUUUCUUUGUUGUCGUGGCCUACCCUUCCGAUGACACGGGCUUAUCUUCCCGGCCGGUGCGGUCGUCAGGCUGCGAGGUUAUGAGGAGUGUCUUGGCGGUGGUCGCGCCUUCCCCGUCGUCCUGGCCGGCGUAUGUAUUGGUGGAGGCGCUUCCGUCGUCUCCCCUCCAUCGUGGCGUCCCAGCCCCAUCAACGGCAACUUCCUUCGCGCGGACCGCCGGGUUCUGGGCACUUCUUCUCUAGCAGCCUUAUCCCGACGGCGGUGGUCAUGGCAUGCUCGCACUCCAGGGCACGCGUGCCGGUCUGGAUCUUCCUCCCCUGCUGCGGCGCCACGGGGAGACCAAGUCCUCUGUCCACCGCCACCAGAUCGGCGUACAGGUUCUGUUUUUUCCCAAAUUGAUGUGCUGCUAGGUUAUUUAGCCGAUGAAAGGAAACACAUUAGAUUUCAUUCUGCGUGAUUGCUGCAGAAGCCAUGUCAAUUUCCAUUCUAGCCAUCAUUUUCUGAGAUGGAUGCAGGUAAUCAUUCUUUCAGAUAUGAGAUUUUCCUAACGUCCUGUGUGACUCAAGUGAUUCUCGUGUGCCACGGUAAUUACUGGCAAGUGGAGUCAAAUAGUACAUAUUAUUUUCCAGUUACUGUCUGCAAAACAUACUCUACAUUUUGCUUACUUACCAUGCCUUGCCCUAUGUUUCCAUUUUCCAAGAACAUGACUUGACAAAAUGACCAGGGUGCAUUCAAACUUAUCUGAUUUCCAUUGAGUAGUCAAAAUCUUCUUGCUUCAUUUUCUUUCCAAGGAAGCUGGAUAGAGAACUCCACCUAUUAUUUAUCAUCUGGCGUAUUUAUUCCCCCGGAAGAGAAAAGCCUACAUGCUCAAUCACAUUCGGCAUUACAACAAUAUUUUAGUGUAUUAUUUUUGGCUUGCAAGUGACAUAUAUAUAUAUUUCAUUGCAAACCUUGAUCCAUUUACUACUGAACAUUGUUGUUAACUAACCAAUCCACAAAUGCUACAGGUAUUCCCUCCCUUUUGGGGGCAUAUAUUUGCAUAUUUUGAUCAGUUACAUAAGAGACUGUUGCUUCUCUUCGUGGUUGCAUUUCUCCUCGGUUAUUACAAUUACUGGAUUGAACAACAAUGACUGUUGUAUAUCUAGGGAUUUUAUUUUUGAUGAGUUACUGCACACCUGUGUUCCCCUUUAUACCUUCCUAUUAUUUAUUUGCAAGUUUCACAAAGCAACCGAGGAGAUCGUUCUUGGCAAUUCACAAUAGAGAGAAACUAUAAAUUGUUAAAUAUUAUUGAAAAGAAAUUCGCAAGAGAUUUAACUACAUUAUCAAGUCCAUUUAAUUGCUUCAGAAGACAAGUGAAAAUUGCUUUACAAGUUUGUAAACAGUUAAGCUAUAACAUCAGUAAAUGAUUUUUUUUUUUGUGUCGCCUCUGAUCUUACCUUAAGGGCAUUAUAUACCUGUAGCGUACAUCCAGGAAACUAUUAUGUGUAUGGAAAUGGAUCAUUUUAGUUAGUGCUGAUCUGUAGCCUCUGAUUUUAAACUGGCCUAAUCUAACUUACUGGUUAGGAAGUAAAACAUAGACAAAAGGUAGUAACAUGGAUGAGCAAGUAAGGUCGUGUCAGGGAUGAUACUGAUAUCGGAUUCAGUGGCGAGGGGAAAGACAAUGGUAGUAAUUUUAAUUAUUUUUGCACACAGAUAAUUACGAAAUAUAAUAUAUCACUACUGUUUCAUUCUAAUGAAAGCUGACAUACACCACUUGUGCAUUAUGUUUCUCAUGAUUAACCCAUUUCUGCCUCUUUCGCUUAGUGAUAAGAAUUUCAAGCUAUAAACCAUGUACUUUCAUACCAUUCCUGCAGCUUCCAAGUGUAUCACUUACUACCACAGCAUGUUUGCCAUACUUGCACGCAUUGCCUCUUAUCUAGGCUUAUGACACUUCCUUUUCAUUUUAUGGCGAGUGGGUUAGUUGACUCAAGUUAAUUUUUCCUGCUCUGGCCUUGGUGACAUACUGACAUAUAAAAAAGCCUUGGCAUGCAGGUUAGUUGAUUCAUGUGAUUUCUCUACGUAUGACUUCUACAUAUGUUCUUGAUUUACCUCGCUAUAUAUUUUUUCAUCCAUUGAUUAGAAGUUUAUCCUUCAUGCAAAUAUUUUUUUUUUCAUUUGGGACUUAUAGGUUCUCUCUUAUCACAGGUUAUCAGCACCCCACCAUAGUUCGGAGAAAGCUGAAUUUAUUUAAAUUGAUCGGGAAUGGCCAUAUCAUUUACUUUGUUUUCCUUAUCAGUUAUCACAUAUUGAACAGGGUUGCAUGUAUAAGCAUGAGAUAUGCCCUACAGUUGAAAGCCUGAGGUUGAGCUCAUAUUACCAACUGAUCUUCUUCACCUUGCAGUUGUAAGACUAUAAUAAUCCAUAGCUUCAGUAAGUUUCAGAUCGGUAAUUAAGCAAUUCUGGUCCGUAAGUGUUCUUCAUAUUACUAAUGAAUCGCGAACUAGGUUACCGGAUUUUGCUAUGUGGCUGCCUUCCUGCCACAGUUUUCCUUUCUAUUUUGCGAAGUGUUGAUGACCUAUUUGGCAUCCUAUAAACAAAUAGUUUCAUAUGUACAUAUAACUGUAUGGAGAUUGAGAACUCAAGUAAUCUUACUGUUCAAUGUGUUUUUUUUUUCCUUCCUGGGGAGAUAGAUACCUUUUUAUGCCGAACUCCUGAUUGAAUUGUGUUCGACGAUGCAAGAUGGCCACCUCUCACCACGUGCGUCCGGCGGCAGCAGCCAGUAUUUGUUCAAGUAUUUGUUCAAGCCUGACACAUCUUGGAGCUAUGGACUCAACAUGGAUCGACCUGGGCAGUAGUAUAUUUCAGAUCAGGUUUGGGAGCUUCUCCAAGACUUCCGAUUCGUACAUAUGGACUUCUGCGGUGCAUAAUAAUGUUUCGUGGAGACUGUUGUUGCUACCUGUUAUAAAAUGGUUGUACAAAAUUCGUUGAGCCGCAACAUACUUCGUUCAGCCAAAUUUUUCGUUGUCGAGAAGCCAAAGCACCAGAUCUGCUGCGACGAGCGUGCAGACGCCGACACGACUUCUUUGACGACCAGCUGAAGCCUCAAACCCCCUCCGACCAUCUUGCGGCAGCAGAAGACAGAGACAGUAGAGGCAUGGCGCAGAUUUUUUUCAUUCUCAUCGCAAGAGUCUCAAGCACCAGGUUCCUGCGCUGAGCCCGCAAGUUUUGCCUUUGAUCUCAACCUCCCCGCGGAGGCCCCUGCACCAGGCAAGAACAUCAUCUUCGAUAGCUGGCCGAGGCUCCAGCUUGCUUCUGCCUCGCCUGUGCUUAGUAAACCCAUGAAAACCGUCUGGCUCUGCUAGCAAAAAGAUGAAUCUGUGGGGCCUAGCCUUCCCCACGAAGAACAUGUACUGGCAAUGGCAGACCAGUAGAAAGAUGUAUCGGCGUCGGUUGGUCUCCAGUGUGUAAUGCAUUCUAAAUAUGCAGUAGCCCUGCAACAUCCUCUGUUAUCCCUUAUAUUGUCUACUUAAGUUAAUUUCUAAUAAACAUCCAAGUCGAUAGCACCCUGUGUGAGAGAA